UACAGUGGCCCAGAAGGUCCCCUGGUCAAUCAAAACCUAGCACACCCCCUGCAGCCAGUCCCCAUCGCCGUGGCCGCUCUGUCCCAAGCUCCUCCCUCACCUGCGUGCCCACCCCUGCAGCCCACACCCGGCCCCGGAGCUCGGAGCCCGCUCUGAGCCACCACCGCUCAGCGAGUCUGAGACCGUCCCUGCUGAAGAGCCAUAGUCGCUUCCCCAGCACAACCGCUGAGAACUCGAGGGGAGGAGGGUCCCCGAGGCAGCAGGGGCCCCGUACCUGCUCAGAGACAGCCCUCGGGAAGGACUUGGCAGCAGAGAGAAGAGGUCGGCCAGAGGCUGCCGCGGCCUCACCAGUUCUCCGAGAGCAGCGGGAGGUUACCUGGGACUUUAUCUGCAUAACAAGACAAUUACCCAGAGGCCACCUCCCCCCACCCCACGCCCCUACCCAAUGCUAAUGCUAUCAAACCGCCAUCACCUGGCCCUGCCUGCUUCAGGCUUAUGUUUUGUGAGGCUCCCGUUUGCACAUAAUAAAUUCGUACGCCUUUUCUCCCUUCA
Lemur catta (Ring-tailed lemur) is the source of this 552-nucleotide long non-coding RNA. RefSeq lists it as uncharacterized. The record is from RefSeq and is a predicted model, not a curated record. Lineage: Eukaryota; Metazoa; Chordata; Mammalia; Primates; Lemuridae. The transcript has 2 exons.